AGAUUAGCAUGGGACCAAUGAUCCUGAGUUUAAUGUAACUUGCACAGAUUUAAAAGGUGAGUGCAUAAUUUGUGGUAGUGGGGGACUGCGUUUGCACUCUCCCCUG
This 106-nucleotide small nuclear RNA is filed under the name Nannospalax galili (Upper Galilee mountains blind mole rat). Its description in RNAcentral is "U1 spliceosomal RNA (ENSNGAG00000005381.1)". The record is from RNAcentral. Lineage: Eukaryota; Metazoa; Chordata; Mammalia; Rodentia; Spalacidae.